UGGGGAAUAUUGCGCAAUGGGCGAAAGCCUGACGCAGCGACGCCGCGUGAGGGACGAAGGCCUUCGGGUUGUAAACCUCUUUCAGCAGGGACGAAGCGAAAGUGACGGUACCUGCAGAAGAAGCACCGGCCAACUACGUGCCAGCAGCCGCGGUAAUACGUAGGGUGCAAGCGUUGUCCGGAAUUAUUGGGCGUAAAGAGCUCGUAGGCGGUCCGUUGCGUCGGCUGUGAAAACCCGAGGCUCAACCUCGGGCCUGCAGUCGAUACGGGCGAACUGGAGUUCGGUAGGGGAGACUGGAAUUCCUGGUGUAGCGGUGAAAUGCGCAGAUAUCAGGAGGAACACCGGUGGCGAAGGCGGGUCUCUGGGCCGAAACUUGACGCUGAGGAGCGAAAGCGUGGGGAGCAAACA
RNAcentral lists this ribosomal RNA (408 nucleotides) under uncultured Blastococcus sp. RNAcentral describes it as "bacterial SSU rRNA". It matches the Rfam family "Bacterial small subunit ribosomal RNA", at positions 355 to 774 of the family's 1533-position model. Lineage: Bacteria; Bacillati; Actinomycetota; Actinomycetes; Geodermatophilales; Geodermatophilaceae. The record is from RNAcentral.